RNAcentral lists this ribosomal RNA (553 nucleotides) under uncultured bacterium. RNAcentral's name for it is "bacterial SSU rRNA". It matches the Rfam family "Bacterial small subunit ribosomal RNA", at positions 28 to 577 of the family's 1533-position model. The record is from RNAcentral.
AUUGAACGCUGGCGGUAGGCCUAACACAUGCAAGUCGAGCGCGAAAGUGCCUUCGGGUGCGAGUAGAGCGGCGGACGGGUGCGUAACGCGUAGGAAUCUGCCUGGUAGUGGGGGAUAACUCGGGGAAACUCGAGCUAAUACCGCAUACGCCCCAUGGGGGAAAGCGGGGGACCUUCGGGCCUCGCGCUAUCAGAUGAGCCUGCGUCGGAUUAGCUAGUUGGUAGGGUAAUGGCCUACCAAGGCGACGAUCCGUAGCUGGUCUGAGAGGAUGAUCAGCCACACUGGGACUGAGACACGGCCCAGACUCCUACGGGAGGCAGCAGUGGGGAAUAUUGGACAAUGGGGGCAACCCUGAUCCAGCCAUACCGCGUGUGUGAAGAAGGCCUUAGGGUUGUAAAGCACUUUCAGUGGGGAGGAAAAGUUGCCGGCGAAUACCCGGCGACCGUGACGCUACCUGCAGAAGAAGCACCGGCAAACUCCGUGCCAGCAGCCGCGGUAAUACGGAGGGUGCGAGCGUUAAUCGGAAUUACUGGGCGUAAAGCGCGCGUAGGCG